This 72-nucleotide transfer RNA is filed under the name Chlorotetraedron incus. Its description in RNAcentral is "tRNA-Pro". It matches the Rfam family "tRNA". Rfam says of the family: Transfer RNA (tRNA) molecules are approximately 80 nucleotides in length. Their secondary structure includes four short double-helical elements and three loops (D, anti-codon, and T loops). Further hydrogen bonds mediate the characteristic L-shaped molecular structure. tRNAs have two regions of fundamental functional importance: the anti-codon, which is responsible for specific mRNA codon recognition, and the 3' end, to which the tRNAs corresponding amino acid is attached (by aminoacyl-tRNA synthetases). tRNAs cope with the degeneracy of the genetic code in two manners: having more than one tRNA (with a specific anti-codon) for a particular amino acid; and 'wobble' base-pairing, i.e. permitting non-standard base-pairing at the 3rd anti-codon position. Lineage: Eukaryota; Viridiplantae; Chlorophyta; Chlorophyceae; Sphaeropleales; Neochloridaceae. The record is from RNAcentral.
CAGGGUGUAGCGCAGUUGGUAGCGCGGCGGCUUUGGGAGCCGCAGGUCGUAGGUUCAAAUCCUACCACUCUG